GUUCUCGUAGUUGAAUACAACGGUGGCUUUUCAGGUCGCUGGUCUCGGUUAGACCCCGGGCGAGAACC
Molecule: transfer RNA, 68 nt
Filed under: Malacosteus niger (stoplight loosejaw)
Lineage: Eukaryota; Metazoa; Chordata; Actinopteri; Stomiiformes; Stomiidae
Description: tRNA-Glu
Rfam family: tRNA
About the family: Transfer RNA (tRNA) molecules are approximately 80 nucleotides in length. Their secondary structure includes four short double-helical elements and three loops (D, anti-codon, and T loops).
Source: RNAcentral